AUGAAAUUAUAACUGGAAAUAUAUAUUUUUUCUCUCAUAUGUUUUGGGGUUAUUGUUGUGGCAAUUAUAGUUUCAGUGGAAUAUCAAAAAAGAAGUAAAAUAUGCGGAUUGUAUGACCAUCAACCCUGACAUGGGGACAAACUGUUCACAAAUUUGCAUGGCCGACCCAGGUCCUUCCAUCUAAUCGCCGUGAUAUCGACGUAUAGGAUUUCAAAUAUUUACACUUGUCAACGAAAACUGAUUGCCUCUGUUCUCACUGUCGGCAGGGGUAAACACCAUUUGGGGUCUGCCUUGAUACUGAGUACAAACAUGCGCAGUUGCAUCCGAUAGUUUGCUUCCGGUCAGACGGUGACCUAUUUUACUCAGGAACCAAGCACCUUUCGUUGUUGGUGGUCACGUCUACGGCGCCGUGUAUUCAGCGCAUGAUUGAUGUUGAGAAUUAAAUGGAUAGUGGAUAAUCGUAUCGUCUGCCCAUCUCUUCAGCUGAGUAUUCCGAGGCAACCCGCUCGACCGAGAGAAAUGGGAAAACGCACAAAUUCUGAUGCUGUUUGUCUUCUGUUAGUGCGGAGUCCGCGCCUUUUAAUAUCUCUCAUUCUAGUUCGGUCUCGUGCCGUACAUGAUCGGAGCGACUCCAAUAAAUCUUGUCAUUGCCCCGUGUAAUAGGAAAAGCCGAUUUGUGUAAAUAAAGCUGAUUGAAAUAAAA
Gigantopelta aegis is the source of this 703-nucleotide long non-coding RNA. RefSeq lists it as uncharacterized. The record is from RefSeq and is a predicted model, not a curated record. The transcript has 2 exons. NCBI's taxonomy places the organism in Eukaryota, Metazoa, Mollusca, Gastropoda, Neomphalida, Peltospiridae.